Peromyscus eremicus (cactus mouse) is the source of this 955-nucleotide long non-coding RNA. RefSeq lists it as uncharacterized. The transcript is spliced from 3 exons. Lineage: Eukaryota; Metazoa; Chordata; Mammalia; Rodentia; Cricetidae. The record is from RefSeq and is a predicted model, not a curated record.
AAAUAUGUCCUGGCAAUUGGCUGUUCCAAAGGAGUGACUGGGGAAAAGGAAUUGAAGGAUCUGUUUAAAACAUCUUUCAUCUUUAACAAAAUUAAGGUAUGAUGUAUGGGAACUGCUGCAUGUUGAUACGCUUUCUUGGGGAGAAAAAAUGAACAUUUGCAAGCCUGUGAGAACUCACCUUAAUUAUUUUGAGAUUCAUGGAGACUAAGAAAUAAAGUCCAUCUCUUUAAGAAUUCCCAGCUUAUCGAGGAUGUGGAACUUAAAAUAUUUAAGAGGGCAGUUUACUAAAGACAAAGAAGAGACACAUCUCCAUGCCAGUGUGACUGACAGGUAGAGUAUGGCCAAUAUGCCUGCAUGGCCAAGAGGACCUCACAUGACUGAAAAGGACUUCAUCCUUCAUAUCACCACCUUCUCUGCUGAAACUAAAGCUAAUGAUUUAGAAGAUGCAUCUGAUUGCCACCCACGUUUUUGUGCCUCAUACUACGUAAGUGUUCUGAGGUAUUGUGUCCUAAAAUUUCCAUGACUUGACAGGACUGGAUGGUAGAGGGGACAGCAGUAACUAUGGAUAUGCCAUGGCCUCUGUGGUCACUAAGUCUGAUUUCUUCCAGCUAAAUGUGCAAUCGUCUAGAGACUUAAAAGGAAAGAAAGCCGAGCUGGCUCCUCCAAGCCCUAGACAUCCCAAUCAUGUCAACCAUAAAUUGGAAAGGGAUGGAUUCUGAACUCUGGGAAGCUAAUUGGGAGCCCCAGGCAAAAUUCUAAUGCGGUCAUUGUCCUCAUCAGUGUGGAUGCCACUAAGGAGAUACUGCUGGAUAUACACAUUUAGAGGACAGACACUGGGGCCAUGAAGUAGCCCAUUUCUCAGACUCAAAGGUUGCCAUCAAAAAGAAAGGUAAUAGGGGAGAGAUUUUUAAGCCACAUAUUCAUAAAUAGCUUCAUUAAAUAAAGUCAAAAUUCA